RNAcentral lists this ribosomal RNA (548 nucleotides) under uncultured Glomeromycotina. RNAcentral's name for it is "SSU rRNA". It matches the Rfam family "Eukaryotic small subunit ribosomal RNA", at positions 548 to 1098 of the family's 1831-position model. Lineage: Eukaryota; Fungi; Glomeromycota. The record is from RNAcentral.
UUGGAGGGCAAGUCUGGUGCCAGCAGCCGCGGUAAUUCCAGCUCCAAUAGCGUAUAUUAAAGUUGUUGCAGUUAAAAAGCUCGUAGUUGAAUUUCGGGAUCAGAGUGUCGGUCGUGCCUCGGUACGCACUGGUAUUAUUGGUUCCUACCUUCUGAAGAACCGCGAUGUCAUUAAUUUGGUGUCGUGGGGAAUCAGGACUGUUACUUUGAAAAAAUUAGAGUGUUUAAAGCAGGCUUACGCUUGAAUACAUUAGCAUGGAAUAAUGAAAUAGGACGUUUGAUUCUAUUUCGUUGGUUUCUAGGAUUGACGUAAUGAUUAAUAGGGAUAGUUGGGGGCAUUAGUAUUCAAUUGUCAGAGGUGAAAUUCUUGGAUUUAUUGAAGACUAACUACUGCGAAAGCAUUUGCCAAGGAUGUUUUCAUUAAUCAAGAACGAAAGUUAGGGGAUCGAAGACGAUCAGAUACCGUCGUAGUCUUAACCAUAAACUAUGCCGACUAGGGAUCGGAUGAUGUUAAUUUUUUAAUGACUCAUUCGGCGCCUUACGGGAAAC